UAAGGGAUGCUUUUAUGGGUUUAAAAUUUGAUUAUGGUUUAAGAAUUGUUAAAAUAAUAUUAUUUAAUUUUAAUUUAUUAAGUGGGCAAUAAGUUUUUACCCCGGUAAUUAAUUAUUUGUAUAAUACUUGUUCCAGAAUAAUCGGCUAUACUUGUAGAAUUUAGGCUUUAUUUUGUUUUAAUUACAGAUUUUAAGUUUUAGAUUUUAAUAAUUUUAGGUUAAAUUUUAAUUAAUGUUUUUUUUUGUCUGUAAUUGUAAGUUUUGAUAAGUGAAUUAGAUUAGUACCUAAUUAGUCAAAAGUUAAUAGAUCAGAAGUAAAGUGGUAUUUAAACUGAAAGAAUAUUGGCAGAUUUUCUAAAUUAUCUUUGGAGGUUGAGUAAUAAUUGAGAACCCUCAUUAACAACUUUUAUUUUCGUCUCAUGUAUGAUCGUUUAUUUUAUGCUUAAGGUAUAUAAUUUUAAAUUUUAAUUUGAAAAAAUAGAUAUAUAUUUGGUUUAUAUAGAAGUUAAAUUUGACCUACAAUAUAGUGAUAUGUGGAUUUACUUUUUAGUAGAAGUAAUGAAAAUGUAAAAGACAGUAAAGGAGUUUUUAUGGCUUCUUGAAGAUUAUUUAGAUGUGGUACAAAUCAUCCAUCAAUUGCCCAAAGGGGAGUAAGUUGUAGUAAAGUAGAUUUAGGGGAACCUGAAUCUAGUAG
This 694-nucleotide non-coding RNA is filed under the name Bunostomum phlebotomum (cattle hookworm). The record is from RNAcentral. Lineage: Eukaryota; Metazoa; Nematoda; Chromadorea; Rhabditida; Ancylostomatidae.